RNAcentral lists this RNase P RNA (300 nucleotides) under Vibrio parahaemolyticus. Its description in RNAcentral is "partial RNase P RNA component class B". It matches the Rfam family "Bacterial RNase P class B", at positions 59 to 357 of the family's 365-position model. Rfam says of the family: Ribonuclease P (RNase P) is a ubiquitous endoribonuclease, found in archaea, bacteria and eukarya as well as chloroplasts and mitochondria. Its best characterised activity is the generation of mature 5'-ends of tRNAs by cleaving the 5'-leader elements of precursor-tRNAs. Cellular RNase Ps are ribonucleoproteins. Lineage: Bacteria; Pseudomonadati; Pseudomonadota; Gammaproteobacteria; Vibrionales; Vibrionaceae. The record is from RNAcentral.
CUGAGAUGCUUGUAGUGUUCGUGCUAAGCCCAAUAAGCUUAGGGGCCGUGUAAACGGCUACGGCGGCCAAACGCGCUAAGGCGUCAGCUAUGCGCUAGUAGGUCUGAAAAGUGCCACAGUGACGAAACGAUCAGGGAAACCUGAGCGGUGGAACGGGUAAACCCCGCGAGCGAGUAACCCAAACUUUUGGUAGGGGCGUUUUGCCAAGCAAAUUGAAGCGACGGCAAUACAGCGGUAACGCUGAGAUAGAUGAUGACUGAAGGAGCUUGUGCCUGAACAAGUUCUGGAACAAAACAUGGC